Molecule: ribosomal RNA, 465 nt
Filed under: Vreelandella stevensii
Lineage: Bacteria; Pseudomonadati; Pseudomonadota; Gammaproteobacteria; Oceanospirillales; Halomonadaceae
Description: partial 16S ribosomal RNA
Rfam family: Bacterial small subunit ribosomal RNA
Source: RNAcentral
CCUACGGGUGGCAGCAGUGGGGAAUAUUGGACAAUGGGGGCAACCCUGAUCCAGCCAUGCCGCGUGUGUGAAGAAGGCCCUCGGGUUGUAAAGCACUUUCAGUGAGGAAGAACGCCUGGUGGUUAAUACCCAUCAGGAAAGACAUCACUCACAGAAGAAGCACCGGCUAACUCCGUGCCAGCAGCCGCGGUAAUACGGAGGGUGCGAGCGUUAAUCGGAAUUACUGGGCGUAAAGCGCGCGUAGGUGGCUUGAUAAGCCGGUUGUGAAAGCCCCGGGCUCAACCUGGGAACGGCAUCCGGAACUGUCAAGCUAGAGUGCAGGAGAGGAAGGUAGAAUUCCCGGUGUAGCGGUGAAAUGCGUAGAGAUCGGGAGGAAUACCAGUGGUGAAGGCGGCCUUCUGGACUGACACUGACACUGAGGUGCGAAAGCGUGGGUAGCAAACAGGAUUAGAUACCCUAGUAGUC